This 492-nucleotide ribosomal RNA is filed under the name Haliclona cymaeformis. RNAcentral describes it as "partial large subunit ribosomal RNA". The record is from RNAcentral. Lineage: Eukaryota; Metazoa; Porifera; Demospongiae; Haplosclerida; Chalinidae.
UGAAAAGAAACUUGGAGAGAGAGUUCAAGAGAGCGUGAAACCGUUGGGAGGGAAGUCCGGGGUGCCGAGGCGGUCCGUCCCUCGGGAGUUCAGCGGGCCCCAUCGGGGACCGUGCACUCUCCCGGGGGACUCGGUGACCGUCAGCUUGUGCGAGGCCCGUCUUCGAGCGUCCGACGGGGAGGUGCCGUCUCUGCCCCUCGGGGAGAGACGGUCGUACAGCCCGACGGCGGCGUCGACGUGGCCAUCGCUCUGGAGUGCAGCGGGACAUCGUUCCGCGUGGUGACAGGUGCGGUGCCUCCUCCGGGAGGCAGCGGGCCCCGGCCGCGGUUCUCCUCUCCGGGCUCGGACUUUCCGUUGGGAGGUCGCGUCUCGCGGCGCGUCCCCUCUUCGGUUCCGGGUCCGUGGAGUGUCCCGCGGUCGAAGGUCUCGUCGGCCGCGCCGAGGCAGCUGGCGUAGAGUCGGUCCCCCGUGCCCCGUCUUGAAAACACGGAA